This 1107-nucleotide small RNA is filed under the name Rattus norvegicus (Norway rat). RNAcentral describes it as "uncharacterized LOC102550919". Lineage: Eukaryota; Metazoa; Chordata; Mammalia; Rodentia; Muridae. The record is from RNAcentral.
ACAGUCUGACUCUAGAAAGAAGUGUGGCUCUAGAACAACCCAACUUUAGAGCCGUUCCAGGUCAUAGCUGACGAGUUCAGCUAGGCAACAAGUCAAGUGUUCGGUUUGAAGAUCUGCGGAAGGUCUUUCUGUUUGGAUAUGAGGUGGAGACAGUCUUAAGAAGACCACAUGGAGAUGUGCACACCCACGAAGAAGGGACACAACCUUCUCAGCAUGGACUAGCACAUCGAGAGUUACAGUGAGAUGAACAGCUGUGUUCUACUCAGGACUCCUGCCUUGACGCUAUGCCCCUCGUAGACCCAAAACCAUGGUGCCAACCACUCUCUGAAACUUGCUUCCAUUACUGGCUCAAGAUUCCUCCGGCCCACCGUGGCACCCGUGUCGUGGCAUGCAGUGACAAUGAGCUCAGGGUGCCAAAGUAGACGUGUGCAGAGCAACGGAAAGACUACACAGGGACACUUCACCGGAAUGUAGCAACAGGCUAAUGGCAUCUUCAACUUCACGUGACCUGCGUUUGGAACAUCAGAAUUAAGCAUCCAUAUUGACUCUGCCUUUCUUGUGAAAACAAUUAAACAGUGUGUGCUAGGCAGAGAGUCAUCUCAGGGAUUAAAAGGUGUUCACCUAUUCUUGCAAAAUCCAAGACAUGAAGGGCGGGUGUCAGAUCCUGUCCUGAGAGAGGUAGGGUGUAGGAGGGACCCUUACCAGAUGGCUGUAGUAGUCCUGUUCCUUAGGCAUCAGAAACACCCAGGAACUGUCCAACGACAAGGGUCGGACUGCCGUGAACUUGAAGAGGACAUUUCAGAAAGUCGUGUGUUUUGCAUAAAGACACACAGGCCAAGGGAAGGUUUGCAGUGGAUAAAAAUAGUCGCUGAGUCCCCGGCGUAGAUAACUCCACCUUAGAUGGGUGCAGUUACGGCUUGGCCCAUCAAAGCGACGGGGCUUCCCACAUCCCUCUGAAUUUCCUUCAGGGUCUUCAAAACCCAGCACUUACUCAAAAGCAGCAUGCAGCUGUGACUGACUGCUGUUUUAUGGCACGUUUACAAGAAUCGUAAUGUCCCCUAAAGCAGUUCUGAAAAUAGUAGAGUUCCCCCUUUCUGGUUUCUCCAU